Long non-coding RNA from Engraulis encrasicolus (European anchovy), 231 nucleotides. RefSeq lists it as uncharacterized. The record is from RefSeq and is a predicted model, not a curated record. The transcript has 3 exons. NCBI's taxonomy places the organism in Eukaryota, Metazoa, Chordata, Actinopteri, Clupeiformes, Engraulidae.
AUGAAGUUAACUUCCAAUGGACGGGACAAAUUCAGAAGGCAGUGGUGUUGCAUCUUUUAUAUGCAUGGUUGUCCUGAAGUCAUUCUGGAACAGGGGUUGUGUUCAGGUGCGUGACAACUGACAACAUUGAGAAGACCCAGGAGCGGGAGAAGGGCAGCCUGAUGAAAGAAGGCGACAGUGUUCUGUGGUCACACCUGAGAUGAUGGUCCUGAAGAGGAACGAGAGGAGAUA